RNAcentral lists this long non-coding RNA (2374 nucleotides) under Mus musculus (house mouse). Its description in RNAcentral is "long non-coding RNA chr16:81313724-81316098". The record is from RNAcentral. Lineage: Eukaryota; Metazoa; Chordata; Mammalia; Rodentia; Muridae.
ACAAAGUGUGGGAUUUUUAGGCAAUAUAAGUUAUAACCCAUUAUUGUUUUGCAAAAUCCUAUUGUAGUUUAAACAUUUAUGUGCUGCAAACAACGAUAUGAAACAAAAUAGAAUCUGGCAAGAAUUACUCGUAGACAUCAUAAAUGUUCAAUACAACCAGGACAGAAGAAUCUAUGAAUUAAAUAUGUAUUCUGAAUAAGUUUAAAAUCUCUGAGGCUCAUUGCAUAUUUGUAAGCUCAUGGACUUGACAGCCUUGUAGGAAAAACACACAGUGACUCUAGCGCUGUUCUCUGUAUUUAUCAAAAGCACAGUACUUAAGGAGCAUGGUAAAAUAUUGAUAAGGGUGAGUUAAUUUGCCUGAAGGAUACCGAGCAGCCAGUGGGCCUUCUCACAGAGCUGAAAUGUCAACAGUCAAGACAGAAACAUCAUUAAACAGCAGUUCUCCUGGAAGCUUGACAGAACUGACCUGUACUCUGCUGUGCACUCCGAAAGUAAUAAUGAAUAAGUUGAGAUUAUCAAUCACUUACUUUUAUCACAAGCUACUACAAAAUACUUUAAUGUUUAUUAUUUUAGAAUAUAAAAUAUUUUAAGGUACUGUAGCUCAAAAGUGUACCUUGAAAUCAUAAAAUACUUCUAGAGUUAUAACAAUUUGAUUUUAGCUUUAAUUUAUGCCCUGAUAUUUAUUGUUUUGCCCAGUGCCCUCAUUUAUUAAAAAGAAAAACAUGUCUUCAGACAGGGAGUAUUUGUUGUUUUUUUUUUAAUUUUCAUCUUAUUCUUGUAAGAACAAUUUUUAAACCUUAAACAGUGGUGCUUAGAUAUGGUAUAUAAGAAAAUAGUUUGAAGUUUAUACUAGUCAGAAAUAUUUACAACAAUGAAAUGUAUAUAUUAUGAGACUAUAAAUAUGUAUGUAAGAUAUUAAUGGGAAGAAUAUGUACAUAGAAACACAUUCCAUUAAUGUCUAUUAGAUAUACAAAUACAGGUCAAGAUAUACAAAUACAUAACAUUUUUUCAGUUCAGAUUCAUUCUAACAAUAUAUAUCUAAAUAUAUCUAACACUUUAUUGUAUAAUUCUAUAAAUACUUUAUGCAUAUCAUAUUUAAACUUUAUUACUAGAUUAUAUAAUCAUGUUUUCCAUAUAUAUGUGUGUGUGUGUGUGUGUGAUGAGAAUGUAUUUUUCUAACUAAAACUAGUUAACAUAAUUCAAGCUAAAAACAGAAAUAUUUUAUCUACUAACUAUUUUAAAGGUUGAAAUAAACAGUUCUUGGCUGUAUGUUUGUAAUCCUAUAUGUAAUGCUGUGUAAUAAACUUUAUAUGUAAGUAUAUAUAAGGUUCAUUAUGGUAUGAGUUACUCACUUGGUUUGGGAACUGUAGAACUCUCACAAGUCUUUCCAUUUAAUGAAGCACCCCAGGAAAACUGGUAUGCACUCAGAGUUCUGGAAGUCAUAUAUAAUCGUGAGAUGAGAAAAACACGUAGCAGGGCCAGGACUGGUUUACAGUUGGAGCAGCUCCAAAUUGUAAGGCAUACUUUGAGAAGAUAUAAGCUAUUUUCCUCUCAUUACUAUUAUUUCCAGUAAACUGAAGUCUGGUCAACCAUACCAGAGGUCAUAUGCUUCACUGAAGUCAUAUUAAACUCUCUGGCAAAACUUACCAUCCCUCUGCCUGGAUAGAAUAAGAUAAAGAUAAAUUGGCAAUUUUAAAACACACUUGCAAGUAAUCACACCUACUUUGAUUAACUAGGAAUCAGUCCUAAUAUAUAGACCACGAAUUUAAUGUUUAAAUGUAUUUAGCAUCUUCACAAGAAGAAAACUAUCCCGAAAUUGCUUUGGUUUUGGUGAAUAAUAUAGUAGCUUCUUUGAAACUUGGGCUCAAGUACCUAACUUGUUAUAGUUAUUAACUACUCUGAGAAUUUUCCCUGAACUUAUGUUAAUGUGAUAUACAAAGCCUUUCUCUCAUUUUUAAUUACUUUUACAGUUUUUAAAGUCCAGACACUACUCCCCUCCAGAUUUGAUUUGCCCUCUCACAGUUCCUCCUUCCAUUUCCCUUCCCCACGCCCCCCUUUUCUCCAAGAUGGUGUUAAAACUACCCUUGACCACCACUUCACCAGACUUCCCCACUCCCUGGAACCUCAAAUCUCUCAAGGUUAGGUGUAUCUUCUCUGAGUCCAUACCCAGCAGUCCUCUGCUAUAUAUGUGUUGGGGGCCUCACAUCAGCUGGUGUAUGCUCCCUGGUUGGUGGCCCAGUGUCUGACAGAUCUCGGGGAUCCAGGUUAGUUGAGACUGCUGAUUUUCCUAUGGAGUCACCCUCCUCCUCAGCUUCUUUCAGCCUUAUGAAAUUUCAAAUGAUUUUAUUUUACAUUCUGCAAACAACUCUUCAGC